UGAGGAAUAUUGGUCAAUGGGCGAGAGCCUGAACCAGCCAAGUCGCGUGAAGGAUGACGGCCCUACGGUUGUAAACUUCUUUUGUCAGGGAGCAAUUGGGUCCACGUGUGGGCUUAGCGAGAGUACCUGAAGAAAAAGCAUCGGCUAACUCCGUGCC
This 157-nucleotide ribosomal RNA is filed under the name uncultured bacterium. RNAcentral describes it as "partial 16S ribosomal RNA". It matches the Rfam family "Bacterial small subunit ribosomal RNA", at positions 355 to 509 of the family's 1533-position model. The record is from RNAcentral.